Molecule: transfer RNA, 74 nt
Filed under: Deltaproteobacteria bacterium
Lineage: Bacteria; Pseudomonadati; Myxococcota; Myxococcia
Description: tRNA-Ile
Rfam family: tRNA
About the family: Transfer RNA (tRNA) molecules are approximately 80 nucleotides in length. Their secondary structure includes four short double-helical elements and three loops (D, anti-codon, and T loops). Further hydrogen bonds mediate the characteristic L-shaped molecular structure. tRNAs have two regions of fundamental functional importance: the anti-codon, which is responsible for specific mRNA codon recognition, and the 3' end, to which the tRNAs corresponding amino acid is attached (by aminoacyl-tRNA synthetases). tRNAs cope with the degeneracy of the genetic code in two manners: having more than one tRNA (with a specific anti-codon) for a particular amino acid; and 'wobble' base-pairing, i.e. permitting non-standard base-pairing at the 3rd anti-codon position.
Source: RNAcentral
GGGCCUAUAGCUCAGCUGGUUAGAGCAACUGGCUCAUAAUCGGUAGGUCCCUGGUUCAAACCCAGGUGGGCCCA